GGGCCCGCACAAGCGGUGGAGCAUGUGGUUUAAUUCGAAGCAACGCGAAGAACCUUACCAAGGCUUGACAUCCCUCUGACGCGCCUAGAAAUAGGUGGUUAUCCUUCGGGGUACAGAGGAGACAGGUGGUGCAUGGUUGUCGUCAGCUCGUGUCGUGAGAUGUUGGGUUAAGUCCCGCAACGAGCGCAACCCUUAUGUUCAGUAGCCAACAGGAAAGCUGGGCACACUGGAGAGACUGCCGUGGAUAACACGGAGGAAGGUGGGGAUGACGUCAAAUCAUCAUGCCCCUUAUGCCUUGGGCAACACACGUGCUACAAUGGCUCGAACAGAGUGAUGCGAGGCAGUGAUGCGGAGCAAAACACAGAAAACGAGUACUCAGUUCGGAUUGAAGUCUGCAACCCGACUUCAUGAAGUUGGAAUCGCUAGUAAUCGCGGAUCAGCAUGCCG
This 447-nucleotide ribosomal RNA is filed under the name uncultured Bacillota bacterium. RNAcentral describes it as "bacterial SSU rRNA". It matches the Rfam family "Bacterial small subunit ribosomal RNA", at positions 917 to 1359 of the family's 1533-position model. The record is from RNAcentral. Lineage: Bacteria; Bacillati; Bacillota.